RNA transcript from Elephantulus edwardii (Cape elephant shrew), 301 nucleotides. It is a transcript of the gene named small ubiquitin-like modifier 1 pseudogene, with no coding region annotated. The record is from RefSeq and is a predicted model, not a curated record. The transcript has a single exon. NCBI's taxonomy places the organism in Eukaryota, Metazoa, Chordata, Mammalia, Macroscelidea, Macroscelididae.
AUGUUUGACCAGGAGGCAAAACCUUCAACUGAGGACUUGGGGGACAAGAAAGAAGAAUACAUCAAACUCAGUCAUUGGACAGGAUAGCAGUGAGAUUCACUUCAAGAUGAAAAUGACAACACAUCUCAAGAAACUCAAAGAACUAUACUGUCAGAGACAGGGGGUUCCAAUGAAUUCACUCAGGUUUCUUUUUGAAGGUCAGAGAAUUGCUGAUAAUCACACUCCAAAAGAACUGGGAAUGGAGGAAGAAGAUGUGAUUGAAGUUUAUCAGGAACAAACAGGGGGUCAUUCAACAGUUUAG